GACCAUGUGGCCUAAUGGAUAAGGCGUCGGACUUCUAAAAGUUGGUUGAGGUUGACAUCCGAAAGUUGCGGGUUCGAGUCCCGCUUUGGUUA
This 92-nucleotide transfer RNA is filed under the name Daphnia pulex (common water flea). It matches the Rfam family "tRNA". Rfam says of the family: Transfer RNA (tRNA) molecules are approximately 80 nucleotides in length. Their secondary structure includes four short double-helical elements and three loops (D, anti-codon, and T loops). Lineage: Eukaryota; Metazoa; Arthropoda; Branchiopoda; Diplostraca; Daphniidae. The record is from Rfam by way of RNAcentral.